RNAcentral lists this unclassified non-coding RNA (315 nucleotides) under uncultured Tomentella. RNAcentral describes it as "sequence contains 5.8S rRNA gene". Lineage: Eukaryota; Fungi; Basidiomycota; Agaricomycetes; Thelephorales; Thelephoraceae. The record is from RNAcentral.
GAACGCACCUUGCGCCCUUUGGUCUUUCCAAUGGGCAUGCCUGUUUGAGUAUCGUGAACACCUCAACUCUCAUGGUUUGCCAUGAUGAGCUUGGACUUUGGGGGUCUUGCUGGCCUGUGGUCGGCUCCUCUCAAACGGAUCAGCUUGCCAGUGUUUGGUGGCACCACGGGUGUGAUAACUAUCUACGCUUGUGGUUUUCCACCAGAUAACCUUCAGUGAUGGAGGUUCGCUGGGGCUCACAAAUGUCUCUCCUCAGUGAGGACAGCUUUUUAAUGUUUGAUCUCAAAUCAGGUAGGACUACCCGCUGAACUUAAG